UGAAAAGAGCUUGACUGAACAGUUUAAUAGGAUUUCUGUAAGUUGCUAAGUCUGAGGAGGCAAUUUUGGUCGAGUCUUUUUUAGUUUUUCUUUCAGGAAAGCAAACAAGGAAAAAGAAAACUAGAUUGGGACCCAAAUUGUGGAACCUGGGGUACAUCUCUGUUAACACCGCACCAGACCUAUCAAUGCAAUAGCAACACUUGUCCAGUCCUGAGCCAAUCUUACGCUUUUAUGUCACUUAGCAGGUGCUUCCUCUUCUGACCAGAGUUCAGGAGACCACCAGUAGUUGAUCUGCUCUUCCGUUUUGCAUUGACAUCUUUCUGCGCCUUUUGUCGUGAGCCUUUACUUUACUUUAUUGUCCAAAUGGAGUAUGCCUGGUACUGGCAGGAUGAACAUGGAGAGUGGAUUGAAUAUGGGCAACUGCAAUCGAAUCAUAGUGCUGCUACAAUAACUUCUGAGGAACUCGAAGAGGCCUUCCUAAAUAAUCAGAGAAAAACGGUUUUAUUUAAAGCAGGUUCUCAGUACUACGAAUUAAACUUUCAAGGUAAGGUUUGUUUAAGUUCUAAUAUACUACAACGUAACAGGCUUUUUUAACAUAGUUUCAUUCAUGCUAACUCAAGCAC
RNAcentral lists this long non-coding RNA (623 nucleotides) under Crocodylus porosus (Australian saltwater crocodile). RNAcentral describes it as "lncRNA (ENSCPRG00005018015.1)". Lineage: Eukaryota; Metazoa; Chordata; Crocodylia; Crocodylidae. The record is from RNAcentral.